GGUAAAUUUUUAUAUCCUAAUUGAAAUUUGAAAUUAAAGAUGCUAAUGUACGAUUAGUGACUUCUAAUUAGUUUUGAUUAGAAUGUAACGUGUGAUAGUAUGUAAGACAUAAAUUAAGAUUCGAAUAUUUUUAUAGUCAAUGAUAAAUAUGGUAAUCGAUAUAUUUUUAGGUGCUAAUUGAGGUUUAAAAUGAAAUGGUAAUUUAUGUGCGUGUAAUAAUUUCUAGUUCAUUCUGAUUAGAAUAUUACGUCAAUGUUAACUUCCAAUUAAUUCGAAUCAGGACGUGGCAUUGGUGAUAAAAUGCAAGACCUUAACCAAUUCAAUGACAAAUAAGGAGGCAAAACGCUGAGACGAUGAUGGUCGCAAUAAGUGGCGGCAUAACGAACGGAACGGCAAUUUUCCGGACUGAUAAACUCGCAUUCUAAACGGAUGUGCUAUUAUUAGAUCACUGGAUUAUAGAAUUGAUAUUGGUUUCUCGUUCAAUUAACAUAGGAAAGUUUCUGACGAUUCAGACGGAGCAACGAGAUAUAUGUGGCGCGCAAUCCACUCGACGUUAAUAGGCGUGUAUAAUUUAUAAUGCGCAUUGUGUGCGUAAUUAGAGGAAGAAUGGGCAGAAAGAAAUGGAUAACCAAUGCACACGUGAAAGGAAAUGCUCGUUUCUCGUCACGACAGCGCAAUAGCCAACAGCUUGUAACUGAGCACCGGUUAAUUACGUUGUUCCGAGCAUCGAUCGAACGAGCUAUUGCCAUUCUUCCGCUUCUUAUCUAAA
Long non-coding RNA from Bombus terrestris (buff-tailed bumblebee), 769 nucleotides. RefSeq lists it as uncharacterized. Lineage: Eukaryota; Metazoa; Arthropoda; Insecta; Hymenoptera; Apidae. The record is from RefSeq and is a predicted model, not a curated record. The transcript is spliced from 3 exons.